CGUAGGUGGCAAGCGUUGUCCGGAUUUAUUGGGUUUAAAGGGUGCGUAGGCGGCCCUAUAAGUCAGUGCUGAAAUAUCCCGGCUUAACCGGGAGGGUGGCAUUGAUACUGUAGGGCUUGAGUGUAGUCGAGGUAGGCGGAAUUGACGGUGUAGCGGUGAAAUGCUUAGAUAUCGUCAAGAACACCGAUAGUGUAGACAGCUUACUAGGCCACAACUAACGCUGAGGCACGAAAGUGUGGGGAUCAAACAGGAUUAGAUACCCUGGUAGUCCACACUGUAAACGUUGAUUACUCGAUGUUGGCGAUACACAGUCAGCGUCUUAGCGCAAGCGAUAAGUAAUCCACCUGGGGAGUACGCCGGCAACGGUG
This 368-nucleotide ribosomal RNA is filed under the name uncultured organism. RNAcentral's name for it is "bacterial SSU rRNA". It matches the Rfam family "Bacterial small subunit ribosomal RNA", at positions 526 to 896 of the family's 1533-position model. The record is from RNAcentral.